UCGGGGCCAAAGUGACAGGUGGUGCAUGGUUGUCGUCAGCUCGUGUCGUGAGAUGUUGGGUUAAGUCCCGCAACGAGCGCAACCCUUAUUGUUAGUUGCCAUCAUUUAGUUGGGCACUCUAGCGAGACUGCCGGUGACAAACCGGAGGAAGGUGGGGAUGACGUCAAAUCAUCAUGCCCCUUAUGACCUGGGCUACACACGUGCUACAAUGGGAAGUACAACGAGUCGCGAAGUCGCGAGGCUAAGCUAAUCUCUUAAAGCUUCUCUCAGUUCGGAUUGUAGGCUGCAACUCGCCUACAUGAAGCCGGAAUCGCUAGUAAUCGCGGAUCAGCACGCCGCGGUGAAUACGUUCCCGGGCCUUGUACACACCGCCCGUCACACCACGAG
Molecule: ribosomal RNA, 387 nt
Filed under: uncultured Enterococcus sp.
Lineage: Bacteria; Bacillati; Bacillota; Bacilli; Lactobacillales; Enterococcaceae
Description: bacterial SSU rRNA
Rfam family: Bacterial small subunit ribosomal RNA
Source: RNAcentral